Molecule: long non-coding RNA, 3446 nt
Filed under: Marmota monax (woodchuck)
Lineage: Eukaryota; Metazoa; Chordata; Mammalia; Rodentia; Sciuridae
Source: RNAcentral
UCCGGUCAACAUCCUGCUUCCUGCAGGGCCCUCCCGGGAGGCCCGGCCAGGGAGGGCACACAGAGGGGUGUUUGUUCGCAGUGGGCGGCGGGGAGAGAUGCUAAUCGCUGCGGAUCGCUGGGCCCAGCUGAAGGUCAGGAGGUAACGCGACCCGCGGUUAUAAAUAACAGCGCCUGGCGGCUGCUGAGAGCCACUCGCUGGAUCGGCGCCCCUCGCCGGCCCGCGGGCACGGAUUGAUUACUGCCCUCCCCAGCCGGCCUGCAGGAACCUGAACCCUGAGACAGCCGCAGCGCGGUGACCUUUGGGGGUGGCGCGCAAGGUCAGACCAGGCCCCUGGGCUUUCCUGUCCUCUGCUGGGGGGAGUAGGUGGGGAGGAGUCACUGAAGUCCCACCUUCGCCACCCCUGCACACCACCACCACCACCCACCCAGGCCCUCCUCGCUGCCACCAUAAGGUGAAAGGAGGCUGCAGGACCCAGGGACCCAGGCGGCCCGCUCGCUCCACUCCGGCGUCCCUCAAUCCCUAUCCUGCUCAUGGAUGAUGGCAGGCAGGCCAAAGGGACCCAGCCAGGGAGGGCCAGCCCACAGCCACACCCGGCCCCGCUUCUAGAGCCCAAACUGAACCCAAACUAUGAUGGUGGGGUUGAGUCCAGAGCCCCAGGCAUUCUCUGCUGUAUGGAAACAGAUCCCCUAGACCGGGGCUUCAGGGGUCUUAGAGGCUUGGGGAGGGGAAUGAUUACUGGGGGCAUCUGGGGAGGCUGGCACCUCUCCCACCUCCCUUUGGAGAGAGUGUGCCAUUUAUUUUUUAAACUCUAUCCCCCCCCCCGGAGUUAAGUACACACACUGAACAGUAUACAAAAGCGUUCAGCUGGGUCACUUUGCACUAGCAGAACAUACCCGGCCAACGCCCAGAUCAGAAAACAGCCCCUCCAGGCCCCAGAAGGCCCACAAGGCCCCUCCCACUGAGCACCCCCAAAGAUAAGGCCUCUGCUGACUCCCAACCUCCCCGGCUCUGGCCUGCUUCUGAGCAUGCAUGCAGGGCGCACACAGUCCGUGCCCUUUGGUGUCUGGUUUCUCUUGCUCAGGGUUGUGUUCCUGAGGUUCCGCUCCUCUCUCGGGAGUCAGGGGCCACUCAUCCUGCUGGGAGCUUGCCCUUGUGUGACUCUCUCACCAUUUAUUCACCCAUUUUGCUGUUGAUGGACACUGGGGCAGGUUCCAGCUCCUGGCUGUCCUGAAGAGCGCCUCUGGGCACACUGCAUCCUGGGGGCUUGUGGAGGACAGGUGUGUGUCUGCUCAGCUUUGAAGAUCCAGGAAGUGUUACUUUUUAAUUGAACAUUUCAGCAAAAGUGAAAUUUCAAGGUUAAUUUAUUUUUCAUUCUUAAAAAAUGACAAGAACACCACUGUUUUUUUAAAAAAUGGGAAAAGAUGGAAUUGUAAAAAAGAAAGAAAAGAGACAUGGUGGCGCACACACUGCAAUUCUAGCCUGAACUGAGGCUGGAGGAGAUCUCAAGUUGGGGGCCAGCCUUGGCAACAUAGUGAGAACCUGCCUCAAAGUAAAAAAUAAAAAACACUGGCUAUGUGGCUCAGUGGUAGAGCACCCCUGGGUUUAAUCCCCAGGGCUGAAAAAAAUAAAUAAAAUAAAGAGCACCCAUUACUACUAUUUCUAGUCAACCAUCCCACCAGCCAAUGGAUGUUUUCUCAGAGGCUCUUAUGUGUCAAACCCUGGGCAAGAGACCCAGUUCCUCCUUCAGGCUGCCUGGGGCCUAGGCCAGGUCAGCAGUGGCAUCACCCAGGGAGAGACCAGGGCCUCUGCACCUUCUGUGGCCUCCAUCAGCCGCCCCUCACCCACCAGGGCUGCCCCCAUCUGCAUCCAAGCUGAGGCCAGAGAGCCAAACCAUCCAGAGAGCUUGCCAGCCAGGCCUUGUCCAGCGAGGCUGUGCCCAAGAACUCAGAGCAGGAAGACUUGAAGCCACAGCACAGUCCACUGCAGUCAAGCCAGGAGAGGGCUGGAGCAAGGAGGAGCAGGCUGGGCUGUGGUCCCCCAGGCAGGCAGCAGUAAGGGGCUGGUCCCCAGGGCAGCUCUCAGGAGGAGGGGAGCCUGGUUGUGAGGCCCUAGUGGGCUGGACUUUGGACUUCAUCCUGAGGCCACUGGAGGGGGUUAAACCUAGGAGUGAGCUGACCAGUCCGCUUCUAGCAAGAUCAUUCUGGAUCCCUGUGGAAUUUGGCCCAUAGUGACAAGAGCAGGGCCAGAGACCUUCAGAGACUGGCACCUGAUAAGUUAGGGCAGUUGUGAGAGUCAGGGUCAGCAUGACAGUGGGGGAGGGGAGUCUAUUUCAGAUAGGGUGGUCAGGAAAGGCCUCUCUGAGGAGGGCACUUCUUAGCUGAGGCCUAGAGGAAGUGAAGGAAUAAAGCUCUUGGGGCAGGGGAGGAGGGGAACUAUCCAAGUAAAGGGUACAGCAAGUGCAAAGACCCUGAGGCAGAUGCACAUGUGUCAGAGAAGCCAGUGUGUGAGGACUGCAGUGCGGACUGGAGAACAGAGGGAAGACCUAGCAGGGCCAUUGCGAGGGUUUAAGAAGGCAAGGCCUGAUCUUGUUUUUGUUACGGAAGGAUCACUCUGUGUGCUCUGAGAACAGACUUGGGUGGAGUGGUGGGUGGGGGGCUCAAGUCAGGGGAAAAGUAGAGGCCUGACCGUCAGUGUGGUAGGAGGUGGUCUCACUUUAUGCAGAUUGUGAAGGUGGCAUCCAGAGCAUUUGUGGAUGGACUAGAUGUGGCCUGUGAGAGGAAGCAGGGCCUGGUUGAUGGUUGCUGGUUGCCCAUUCACGUCCUCUUAUCUCCCCUGAUCUCUGGGUGUCUCCCCUCUGCCUGUGUCCUCCCUCUUCUUAUCUCCCAUUCCCUGUCCUCCCCUCCCUCUGCCUUUCCCUUCUCACUCCUCCUCUCCCUCACCCCUCUGCCCGGCCUCCCCUGCCCCAUCUCUUCUAUUUCAGGAGUCCAGUGACUUCAUGCUGUCACCUCCCGCAGGCCAGAGAUGCUGCCCUUGAGGACAGGCAGCAGCCCUGAUGACUGUGGCCAGGGCCCAGAGGCUGGGAGCUAAGGAGAAGGUAGAUGUGGCUCCCAGGACCCACCCUGGAGCGCCCGCCUCCCCUGGUGGGAAAGCCCAGUCUCCACCUGGGGCAUGUCCAUCCCUGAGCCCCAGAGGCUCAUGGGAAAUCCUGAAAGCAAAGCCCAGGGUUCUUCAAUGCCCUCAUGUAGCCCCUGCUCCACUUGGCGGGCUUUGGGGCCAGGGGCUCUCCAGGCCUCCUCCCUGCCCUAGUGGAGAAAAAAAUACACUAGCUGAGGACUGGCGUUGUAGCUCAGUUGGUGGAUCAUUUGCCUGGCUUGUGUCAGGCACUGGGUCCGAUCCUCAGCACCACAUAAAAAUGAAUAAAUUAACUAAAGGUAUUGUGUCUG